Molecule: transfer RNA, 73 nt
Filed under: Ovis aries (sheep)
Lineage: Eukaryota; Metazoa; Chordata; Mammalia; Artiodactyla; Bovidae
Rfam family: tRNA
About the family: Transfer RNA (tRNA) molecules are approximately 80 nucleotides in length. Their secondary structure includes four short double-helical elements and three loops (D, anti-codon, and T loops). Further hydrogen bonds mediate the characteristic L-shaped molecular structure. tRNAs have two regions of fundamental functional importance: the anti-codon, which is responsible for specific mRNA codon recognition, and the 3' end, to which the tRNAs corresponding amino acid is attached (by aminoacyl-tRNA synthetases). tRNAs cope with the degeneracy of the genetic code in two manners: having more than one tRNA (with a specific anti-codon) for a particular amino acid; and 'wobble' base-pairing, i.e. permitting non-standard base-pairing at the 3rd anti-codon position.
Source: Rfam by way of RNAcentral
UCCCUGGUGGUCCAGUGGCUAAGACAUGGCACUCUCAAUGCAGGAGGCCCAGGUUCAAUCCCUGGUCAGGGAA